AUUGAACGCUGGCGGCAUGCCUAACACAUGCAAGUCGAACGGUAACGCGGGGGCAACCCUGGCGACGAGUGGCGGACGGGUGAGUAAUACGUAGGAAUCUGCCCAUUAGUGGGGGAUAACCCGGCGAGAGCCGGGCUAAUACCGCAUACGCUCUACGGAGGAAAGCGGGGGAUCGCAAGACCUCGCGUUAAUGGAUGAGCCUACGUCGGAUUAGCUAGUUGGUAGGGUAACGGCCUACCAAGGCGACGAUCCGUAGCUGGUCUGAGAGGACGAUCAGCCACACUGGGACUGAGACACGGCCCAGACUCCUACGGGAGGCAGCAGUGGGGAAUAUUGGACAAUGGGGGCAACCCUGAUCCAGCAAUGCCGCGUGUGUGAAGAAGGCCUGCGGGUUGUAAAGCACUUUCAGAGGGGAAGAAAAAAUCGGAUCUAACACAUCCGAGCUUGACGUUACCCUUAGAAGAAGCACCGGCUAACUCCGUGCCAGCCGCCGCGGUAA
This 499-nucleotide ribosomal RNA is filed under the name uncultured bacterium. Its description in RNAcentral is "partial 16S ribosomal RNA". It matches the Rfam family "Bacterial small subunit ribosomal RNA", at positions 29 to 523 of the family's 1533-position model. The record is from RNAcentral.